AUUGAACGCUGGCGGCAGGCCUAACACAUGCAAGUCGAGCGGAGCGGCGGACGGGAGAGUAAUGCCUAGGAACCUGCCUGGUAGUGGGGGAUAACGUCCGGAAACGGGCGCUAAUACCGCAUACUAUCAGAUGAGCCUAGGUCGGAUUAGCUAGUUGGUGGGGUAAAGGCCUACCAAGGCGACGAUCCGUAACUGGUCUGAGAGGAUGAUCAGUCACACUGGAACUGAGACCCGGUACAGGCGCCUACGGGAGGCAUCAGUGGGGAAUCUUGGGCAAUUGGCGCGAGCCUGAUCCAGCCAUGCCGCGUGUGUGAAGAAGGUCUUCGGAUUGUAAAGCACUUUAAGUUGGGAGGCGUUACCAACAGAAUAAGCACCGGCUAACUCCGUGCCAGCAGCCGCGGUAAUUC
Molecule: ribosomal RNA, 407 nt
Filed under: uncultured bacterium
Lineage: Bacteria
Description: partial 16S ribosomal RNA
Rfam family: Bacterial small subunit ribosomal RNA
Source: RNAcentral